This 66-nucleotide transfer RNA is filed under the name Dendrolimus kikuchii. RNAcentral describes it as "tRNA-Arg". The record is from RNAcentral. Lineage: Eukaryota; Metazoa; Arthropoda; Insecta; Lepidoptera; Lasiocampidae.
AAAUAAGAAGCAACCACUGCAUUUAAUUUCGACUUAAAAGAAAGAGUUUAUUUUACUCCUUAUUUA